RNAcentral lists this ribosomal RNA (679 nucleotides) under Lysinibacillus sphaericus. RNAcentral describes it as "bacterial SSU rRNA". It matches the Rfam family "Bacterial small subunit ribosomal RNA", at positions 122 to 787 of the family's 1533-position model. The record is from RNAcentral. Lineage: Bacteria; Bacillati; Bacillota; Bacilli; Caryophanales; Bacillaceae.
CAACCUACCUUAUAGUUUGGGAUAACUCCGGGAAACCGGGGCUAAUACCGAAUAAUCUGUUUCACCUCAUGGUGAAAUAUUGAAAGACGGUUUCGGCUGUCGCUAUAGGAUGGGCCCGCGGCGCAUUAGCUAGUUGGUGAGGUAACGGCUCACCAAGGCGACGAUGCGUAGCCGACCUGAGAGGGUGAUCGGCCACACUGGGACUGAGACACGGCCCAGACUCCUACGGGAGGCAGCAGUAGGGAAUCUUCCACAAUGGGCGAAAGCCUGAUGGAGCAACGCCGCGUGAGUGAAGAAGGAUUUCGGUUCGUAAAACUCUGUUGUAAGGGAAGAACAAGUACAGUAGUAACUGGCUGUACCUUGACGGUACCUUAUUAGAAAGCCACGGCUAACUACGUGCCAGCAGCCGCGGUAAUACGUAGGUGGCAAGCGUUGUCCGGAAUUAUUGGGCGUAAAGCGCGCGCAGGUGGUUUCUUAAGUCUGAUGUGAAAGCCCACGGCUCAACCGUGGAGGGUCAUUGGAAACUGGGAGACUUGAGUGCAGAAGAGGAUAGUGGAAUUCCAAGUGUAGCGGUGAAAUGCGUAGAGAUUUGGAGGAACACCAGUGGCGAAGGCGACUAUCUGGUCUGUAACUGACACUGAGGCGCGAAAGCGUGGGGAGCAAACAGGAUUAGAUACCC